UACAGGGGGUGCAAACGUUGCUCGGAAUCAUUGGGCGUAAAGCGCACGUAGGCGGUUCGUUAUGUCGGAUGUGAAAGCCCUUGGCUUAACCGAGGAAGUGCAUCCGAAACUGGCGAGCUAGAGUACUAAAGAGGAUCGCGGAAUUCCCGGUGUAGAGGUGAAAUUCGUAGAUAUCGGGAGGAACACCGGUGGCGAAGGCGGCGAUCUGGGUCGAUACUGACGCUGAGGUGCGAAAGCGUGGGGAGCAAACAGGG
RNAcentral lists this ribosomal RNA (254 nucleotides) under uncultured bacterium. Its description in RNAcentral is "partial 16S ribosomal RNA". It matches the Rfam family "Bacterial small subunit ribosomal RNA", at positions 524 to 777 of the family's 1533-position model. The record is from RNAcentral.